UUUAACUCCACAGUCGCCUCCCAUCGUUUGAGACUCUCUCAUCUCUCACUUUGAGAGAGACACGGCAGCCACCCCAUUUCCCCCAUUUUCGUCGCCGCCGGCCAGCCACCAGCAGCCUUGGCUAGCGCCUCCCCCUCUUCUCUUUUAUCUCUCUUCGCCGGAACACCACCAAAGCUAUGAUCUGAAAAUAGGACACCUAUCGAAAUUUCACUUCUGGCCGGAGAAGCUUCAUGUCUUAUCUGAAAUGCUAAGGCCGGCAUUCUUUCCAUGAGGCAAACCGAUAUCUGAGAAUUUUAUGGCCAGAAAUCUGACUUUCCGGCGACCUCUGGUGCUGCUCUUUUACUGUUCACUGCAACCCGUUCUCUUGGUUUUGGACGGAAAUACAGAUUCCGGCGACGUUCCUUGAAGUUGAGCGUUAUUCCGGCGUCCGCCGUCGAAGUAACGCCACUGCUGUUCAUUUGGCCGGAAUAUUUUCUGGCGACCUCCCUUAACGCCAACGACUGUCCUUUUGCUUGUGUAUUUCUUCGCUUAUCAUUUUUUCUUUGCUACAGGUUAACAGAUCUAAACCAAUAAAGGUUAUUUGCCUAGAGAUUGGCCAAAACUUUGGCGUUGUUUCCCUGCCGGUAAUUUCUUCCGACGUCUCUGUUGCCUCGCUUGGGUACUGUUCUCCGGCGUUUGUCGUCGAUUGUGGAACUUUGCCGAUGAAUGUUCAUAGAUAAUUUUUGGGGUCUUUGUUUAUUCUGGCCAACUUCUAUCUCCACGUAUUAUGCUAUAUCAUUAUUAUCACAUUUGGUUCUACAAGUUUGGGUUAAUUUACGCUUGACUGGAACUAUUGAAUUGUUUCUUGCUAAUUAGUUUGUGCAGAUUUCACGUCUGAAUUGUUGUUGAUUUCCCGCACUGUUGGACCUAAGGCUUGGGCUGAUGAGAAAAUAACCUUCGAGUUAUUCAACGCCCCGAAUGACCGUCCGGGUUGGGCCCUAUAAUAAUGAGGCGAUGAUAAACAUCGAAAAAGAAAAAGACGAGAAUUCGAAUCAAUAACCUAUGGAGGGCGACACGGUUGGCAGACGGUGUCUCAACCGAGGCGGUGAGCCUACUAUAUUAUUUUAAACUAUUUUUCAAAAAUAAUUUCCCAAAAACAUUUUCGAACUAUUUUCACAAACAAUCUUUCAAAAAAAAAACAUUUUCGAAUCUUUUUCGGAAAAAUUUCAAAAAAUCAUUUUAAAAACAUGUCAUUUGAUUCAUUUUUACUUUAUGUUAUUUUAUUAAUAAUUUUACUUUCUUAUCUUGCGAGGUACUACUAUACGGAGUUGUUUUUGGAAGACGACACUCGAAGAUAGAAAGACAAAUUUUCGUCAAACUCCCCGCUUCGAAUUUCCUAUUCUAGGAUGUAUCCAAAAUCACAAGUAUAGUGAAAUCGCAGAUAAAUGUCGUAUUAUUUGUUUACUUUGAUCUUUAUCUGUUUGUUAAACACUUAAACACUUAGGGUGUGUUACAUCUAGCUAAUAAUCCGCCAAC
Molecule: long non-coding RNA, 1515 nt
Filed under: Nicotiana tabacum (common tobacco)
Lineage: Eukaryota; Viridiplantae; Streptophyta; Magnoliopsida; Solanales; Solanaceae
Description: long non-coding RNA (NTAB_LNC001104)
Source: RNAcentral